RNAcentral lists this ribosomal RNA (525 nucleotides) under uncultured bacterium. RNAcentral describes it as "bacterial SSU rRNA". It matches the Rfam family "Bacterial small subunit ribosomal RNA", at positions 777 to 1302 of the family's 1533-position model. The record is from RNAcentral.
AAUAGAUACCCGAGGUAGUCCACGCCGUAAACGAUGACGUGCUAAGUGUUAGGGGUUCCACCCGUUAGUGCUGCAGCUAACGCAUUAAGCACUCCGCCUGGGGAGUACGGUCGCAAGACUGAAACUCAAAGGAAUUGACGGGGGCCCGCACAAGCGGUGGAGCAUGUGGUUUAAUUCGAAGCAACGCGAAGAACCUUACCAGGUCUUGACAUCCCGAUGACCGCUCUAGAGAUAGAGCUUUCCCUUCGGGGACAGCGGUGACAGGUGGUGCAUGGUUGUCGUCAGCUCGUGUCGUGAGAUGUUGGGUUAAGUCCCGCAACGAGCGCAACCCUUGUUCUUAGUUGCCAUCAUUCAGUUGGGCACUCUAAGGAGACUGCCGCAGCAAUGCGGAGGAAGGUGGGGAUGACGUCAAAUCAUCAUGCCCCUUAUGACCUGGGCUACACACGUGCUACAAUGGACGGUCAAACGGUUGCGAAAUCGCGAGACGGAGCCAAUCCGAGAAAACCGUUCUCAGUUCGGAUUGCG